UGGGGAAUAUUGCACAAUGGGCGCAAGCCUGAUGCAGCGACGCCGCGUGGGGGAUGACGGCCUUCGGGUUGUAAACUCCUUUCGCCAGGGACGAAGCGUUUUGUGACGGUACCUGGAGAAGAAGCACCGGCUAACUACGUGCCAGCAGCCGCGGUAAUACGUAGGGUGCAAGCGUUGUCCGGAAUUACUGGGCGUAAAGAGCUCGUAGGUGGUUUGUCACGUCGUCUGUGAAAUUCCACAGCUUAACUGUGGGCGCGCAGGCGAUACGGGCUGACUUGAGUACUGUAGGGGUAACUGGAAUUCCUGGUGUAGCGGUGAAAUGCGCAGAUAUCAGGAGGAACACCGAUGGCGAAGGCAGGUUACUGGGCAGUUACUGACGCUGAGGAGCGAAAGCAUGGGUAGCAAACAGGAUUAGAUACCCUGGUAGUCCAUGCCGUAAACGGUGGGCGCUAGGUGUAGGGGCCUUUUGGGGUUUCUGUGCCGUAGCUAACGCAUUAAGCGCCCCGCCUGGGGAGUACGGCCGCAAGGCUA
Molecule: ribosomal RNA, 531 nt
Filed under: uncultured bacterium
Lineage: Bacteria
Description: bacterial SSU rRNA
Rfam family: Bacterial small subunit ribosomal RNA
Source: RNAcentral